RNAcentral lists this ribosomal RNA (465 nucleotides) under Vreelandella stevensii. Its description in RNAcentral is "partial 16S ribosomal RNA". It matches the Rfam family "Bacterial small subunit ribosomal RNA", at positions 338 to 795 of the family's 1533-position model. Lineage: Bacteria; Pseudomonadati; Pseudomonadota; Gammaproteobacteria; Oceanospirillales; Halomonadaceae. The record is from RNAcentral.
CCUACGGGUGGCAGCAGUGGGGAAUAUUGGACAAUGGGCGAAAGCCUGAUCCAGCCAUGCCGCGUGUGUGAAGAAGGCCUUCGGGUUGUAAAGCACUUUCAGUGGGGAAGAAAGCCUUGGGGCUAAUACCCUCGAGGAAGGACAUCACCCACAGAAGAAGCACCGGCUAACUCCGUGCCGGCAGCCGCGGUAAUACGGAGGGUGCGAGCGUUAAUCGGAAUUACUGGGCGUAAAGCGCGCGUAGGCGGUCUGAUAAGCCGGUUGUGAAAGCCCCGGGCUCAACCUGGGAACGGCAUCCGGAACUGUCAGGCUAGAGUGCAGGAGAGGAAGGUAGAAUUCCCGGUGUAGCGGUGAAAUGCGUAGAGAUCGGGAGGAAUACCAGUGGCGAAGGCGGCCUUCUGGACUGACACUGACGCUGAGGUGCGAAAGCGUGGGUAGCAAACAGGAUUAGAUACCCCUGUAGUC